ACGUGGAACUAAUGUUCUGAGUUGUGGGGAAAUAAUUGUGUGUGACCCCCCAGCCCUAUUUAAGAUCAGAGCAUAAAGGCUUAGCAUUGUCUUUGGGGCUGGAGUUUGUGCAGAGGUUUGGUGAGGCUGGUAUUGGUUGGCAGAGCCUUGCUGAUAUAGUUACCCGAAGCUUAGCUUUCCCUACCCUCCUUACCAGCUGCAGUGAGGUUUUAAUUGGUGCCCUCCCCUUCUUUAGCGGUCUCCCAGUGGUUUCAAGCUGUGUUGCUGCCACAAAGCACAGAGCAUGGGGCUCAGAUACAGCACAGAUGAUGCAUUUGUUGUUUUCUAUGUGAAAACUACCAGUCGUAAAGCUGUGGCAUCAACCAUCAAGGCAGAAAUGCUCCCGUGUGAGUCUGAGGUUCCUUCAGAUGCUGUGCCAAGGACUGAUAAAACGCUGCCUACAUCAGAAACCAACAUGGGAACUGGUGGGAUCCAGUCUGCUGCAGGAGCCCGAGAGCUGAAGGAUGAGGGGCCCCAAAGACCUGCUGUUUUCUCGGAGGACAAGGAGGAUGAGCAAGCGCCUGCAGUGAACUAGGAAACUUUCUGAACUUUCAAAUGGAGAGUGAUGGGGAGUUCAGACACAGACCUGAGUAGCUGGAAUCGCAGCCAAAGGGCCAACUUCGUGUAACCAGGCCUUUAAGCUUCAGAGUUUAGCAGUGAUAGAUAUUUCCCAGUCUCAAGAAGGUAUGGUAACUGAAGAAGAUGAAAACAGGGAGGCAACAGACUCAUGUCUUCUGAUGCCUCAAGUGAACUGGCCUGAGCUUUGGACUCCAGACCAAGUAAUGGUGAAAUCUCAUGCUCUUCAUACCUUUUCUUCCUUUUCCACCCCCCCCCCCCCUUCAAAGAAAAAGGUGAAAACCAUGUCUGCACCCCCAGCACGAGAACUCAGUCCCCUGAGCCUGCAGUGCCAGAAUGAGCUGGAUGGACCGAGUCCUGCACUGAAAGGGAUCUACUUGCUACUCUGGCUUGUGAAACACAUGGUGUAUCAAAUUUUGAGGUGGGGUCUGGACAGCAUGCUUGUACGUGUGGCGUGGGAGCUCGUUUGUGUGUCUUGGGUUUUUAAAAGUGGUGAUCUCUGUUUCUCUAGGAAUGUUGCAUCUAAAACAUAGUGGCCAAAUAUAUAGCCAUUUUCUCCUUUAACACUAAUCCCCUAAAUAAUGGGUACCUUUCCAAUUGUGAGAGACCACUGAAGUCUCCUCUUUGUGUAGAACGCUGGUGAAAGAAAUUUUAAUAUUUAACUAUCAAUAAAAUCAAUUUUAUGAUCA
Alligator mississippiensis (American alligator) is the source of this 1304-nucleotide long non-coding RNA. RefSeq lists it as uncharacterized. NCBI's taxonomy places the organism in Eukaryota, Metazoa, Chordata, Crocodylia, Alligatoridae. The record is from RefSeq and is a predicted model, not a curated record. The transcript has 2 exons.